RNAcentral lists this long non-coding RNA (1103 nucleotides) under Strigops habroptila (Kakapo). RNAcentral's name for it is "lncRNA (ENSSHBG00005018859.1)". Lineage: Eukaryota; Metazoa; Chordata; Aves; Psittaciformes; Psittacidae. The record is from RNAcentral.
UUUUGUUCUGUUUUGAGGUUUUUUUGUGUUCUCUUAUCAGUUUGUAUUAUUUUUGUGUCUGUCUUCAUUAUCCUCAGGAGAGUUUCUGGGACAACGUUUAAGCUGGCAGGAUUGUAUCACCUGCCUCAGGCUCUUUUUUUUGUUGUUGCUGGUGUUGUAAAACAAGUAUUUCUCUUUCUCAGUUAAAACCAACAAGCAACCCUCCAACAACUGAAUGCUAAUCCUUUAAUGCUACUUCUGCCUUCUAAGGGGUAGAAUUAUGAUAUAGGUUGAGUCUCUCCCUUUUAGCCCCUCCAGGUUUGGGGUUUGUUUUUAAGGACCAAAUGUGGCAUUCUUAAGUUUUAUAACCAGGUUGCCAAAGGUGAAAAUCUGGGCAGAGUUCCUCUUUUCCAGAAGCACCUCUUCUUCAAACAAAUAGGCAAAAAAAAACCAGAAGAAAUUGCACAAAGCAUGAAGAGGUAAGUGCCCCUUAGAGCUAAAUACCUGCAAGCAACAUGAUUUUAUAAACCAUGUGUCUCAGCUUUUCUGAUUUCAGAAAUUUCACAUGAAUAAUUGAGUGAAACAAACACUCUGUGUGGAACGCACCUAUGGGUGCAGGAAAGCUGUAGUGACAAAGGAGGUGUAAUAGCAUAGGUAGGAAAACACUAGAGAUGUUUGGAAUUGGCUCUUUAUUGACCCAUAUUAGAAAAAGAGAGGAGGGAAAUGGCUUAGAAGAUGGAUAAAAUGUGGUAGCAGCUUCCUUGUCUUAAGUGUACUGUUGAAUCUCUCUAAUAAUGCCUUUGUUCCUGAGAAAGAAAACUUCUGAGGCUUCUUGAAUGAAAACAGGCCUAAAAGAAGCUGCACCCUGAUAACACUAUUUGGUCUGAUAUAAUUUGGAGGUAGGGAAGGGGGAGGUUAGAAUCUCUUAACAGCAACCAUCUGAGGAAGGCUGCCCUUGAAGUAUUUUAUCCUUAGCAGGCUGGGUGUGAUAAAAAAUCCAGUUCAGUUUGACCCUUGGCAGGGUAGGCAGGCAGUAACCUGCCUACAGUACUACUGCUUCUGAGGACCGGAUUUUAUUUCAGUCAAAUGAGAAGGUUUCAUUUCAUGUUCAAUGUUCUUAAUAA